Molecule: regulatory RNA element, 101 nt
Rfam family: SAM riboswitch aptamer (S box leader)
About the family: The SAM riboswitch is found upstream of a number of genes which code for proteins involved in methionine or cysteine biosynthesis in Gram-positive bacteria. The SAM riboswitch acts at the level of transcription termination control.
Source: Rfam
UUCUUAUCUCGAGAGGCGGAGGGACUGGCCCUGUGAAGCCUCGGCAACAGACUGUUAAAGUACUGUGCCAAUUCCAGUAGCAAUUUGCUUGAAGAUAGGAG